Molecule: long non-coding RNA, 904 nt
Organism: Suricata suricatta (meerkat)
Lineage: Eukaryota; Metazoa; Chordata; Mammalia; Carnivora; Herpestidae
Exons: 4
Source: RefSeq, a predicted model, not a curated record
GAGAGCCAAGUGGAAUGGUCAGAAGCUAAGGGGAUGCAGCUGAACAGAAUUCUUCAGAGCAACAGUAUUGAAGUUCCCAUACCUGUAAUGCUGCAAAGAUCAUCAUUUCUUCUUCGGUGCAGUCAAUUUCUUCUAAGAGAAUAGCCCACCUGGCUUGUUCAUAGAGCUGGUUUAUUCGGACAGCAUCAUACUAAAGAAAGAGACAGAGAGUCUUCAAGGGGCCAAAUAGACCCAUCUCAGAUUCUAUUAUUUCCCUCUCUCUUUUGUCACCACUUCCACUGGGGGGAAGAACCAUCACCACCAUCCGCCUACAGGACUCUCUUCAUCUUGCAAAACCACAGCUCUGUAUCCACUAUACUCCCCACAGAAUCCUGCAAUUUUAGUCCUUCUUUGUUUGGUGGGAGAGGAAGGGAGGGAAGAAGAGGAAGGAGGAGCCAAGGAGGAAGACUUCUUGGGACUUUAGAAAUCCUUGGAUUCAAGCAUGAAAUAAAAACAACAAAACACCUGUCACAAAUCAUACCUGGUGGACCUGAAGUCGUUGGGGACCCCUCCAGAUUUAAAAUAUCUUCAAUAAUGGGCUCCUUGUUAGUUUUGUCUUUCUUUUUCUUUUUUUUAAAAUAGUCACCAGAAGGCUUUAACAAGGAGAGUUCUUCUGAUCUUCUAAUAUCUAACAGACAAACAAAUAUAAAGAAGAAAGAACAACUAUCAAAGAGUAAAAAUAAAAUUCCUUCUAAGACUCAGAGUCAUGCUGAACAUCUGAAACCAUUUCUCAGAAAAUCCCUGAGAACUAAAUGGAACUAAAUUACAUCCCUUUGGAAGAAAUAGACGGGUGUGUGUGUGUAUGGGGGAGGCGUCAAAGAUUGGAAGGAGAUUUAAUCUAAUAAAACUUCUAGCUGUUUUUUAA